This 541-nucleotide ribosomal RNA is filed under the name uncultured bacterium. Its description in RNAcentral is "partial 16S ribosomal RNA". It matches the Rfam family "Bacterial small subunit ribosomal RNA", at positions 356 to 914 of the family's 1533-position model. The record is from RNAcentral.
UGGGAAUAUUGCACAAUGGGCGAAAGCCUGAUGCAGCAACGCCGCGUGAGUGAUGAAGGCCUUCGGGUUGUAAAGCUCUGUCUUUUGGGACGAUAAUGACGGUACCAAAGGAGGAAGCCACGGCUAACUACGUGCCAGCAGCCGCGGUAAUACGUAGGUGGCAAGCGUUGUCCGGAUUUACGGGCGUAAAGGAUGCGUAGGCGGAUUUUUAAGUGAGAUGUGAAAUACCCGGGCUUAACUUGGGUGCUGCAUUUCAAACUGGGAAUCUAGAGUGCGGGAGAGGAGAAUGGAAUUCCUAGUGUAGCGGUGAAAUGCGUAGAGAUUAGGAAGAACACCAGUGGCGAAGGCGAUUCUCUGGACCGUAACUGACGCUGAGGCAUGAAAGCGUGGGUAGCAAACAGGAUUAGAUACCCUGGUAGUCCACGCCGUAAACGAUGAGUACUAGGUGUAGGAGGUAUCGACCCCUUCUGUGCCGCAGUUAACACAAUAAGUACUCCGCCUGGGAAGUACGAUCGCAAGAUUAAAACUUAAAUGAAUUGAC